CUCUUCCUCUUCCUCUUCCUCCACCAAUUCUGUUCUCACACCAUCCUCCUCGGAUUUUAGAAGUAGGCAACCGAUCUCAAGAAGAAGUCCGCCUACAAGUGCUUAGCAACUAUCUUAUCUCUAAUCUGUUUUUGAUUUCUUGAAUCUUUCUUUCUCUAAACCCUUUCACGUUUAUUCACUACCAAGGUUUUUUCACCAUCGUUGCUGGUUCUUCAUCUAACAGUUAGGUUUCUUCAUCUCACAAUGAUGAAUCUUCGUGCCCCUUCUUCAUCACGAAGAACUAACAUGCACUUCGGAGCCUCACAAGGAGUGCGUAUGACUCCUGGAGCAACUAGGUCUACUAAUUCUGCUGCUGUUCGACAUAUUGUUUUUGAUAGGUAUAUAUAUUUUUGUGUCUAUACGUCGCAAAAAGCUACAAAGAUAGUUGUUGCUAUUUUGUAGUAUUUCCACAAAUAUAUUGUGUCUAUCUGUGGCACCCUGGAUACAUUGACAUUGUAGCUAUUUAUGACAAAUAGACACGAAAGAGUAGUAGCUA
This is a long non-coding RNA of Camelina sativa (false flax), 535 nucleotides long. RefSeq lists it as uncharacterized. The record is from RefSeq and is a predicted model, not a curated record. Lineage: Eukaryota; Viridiplantae; Streptophyta; Magnoliopsida; Brassicales; Brassicaceae.